RNAcentral lists this ribosomal RNA (459 nucleotides) under uncultured Oxalobacteraceae bacterium. Its description in RNAcentral is "bacterial SSU rRNA". It matches the Rfam family "Bacterial small subunit ribosomal RNA", at positions 921 to 1382 of the family's 1533-position model. Lineage: Bacteria; Pseudomonadati; Pseudomonadota; Betaproteobacteria; Burkholderiales; Oxalobacteraceae. The record is from RNAcentral.
CCGCACAAGCGGUGGAUGAUGUGGAUUUAAUUCGAUGCAACGCGAAAAACCUUACCUACCCUUGACAUGUACGGAAGCCACGAGAGAUCGAGGUGUGCUCGAAAGAGAACCGUAACACAGGUGCUGCAUGGCUGUCGUCAGCUCGUGUCGUGAGAUGUUGGGUUAAGUCCCCGCAACGAGCGCAACCCUUGUCAUUAGUUGCUACGAAAGAGCACUCUAAUGAGACUGCCGGUGACAAACCGGAGGAAGGUGGGGAUGACGUCAAGUCCUCAUGGCCCUUAUGGGUAGGGCUUCACACGUCAUACAAUGGUACAUACAGAGGGCCGCCAACCCGCGAGGGGGAGCUAAUCCCAGAAAGUGUAUCGUAGCCCGGAUUGUAGUCUGCAACUCGACUACAUGAAGUUGGAAUCGCUAGUAAUCGCGGAUCAGCAUGUCGCGGUGAAUACGUUCCCGGGUCUU